AGGAGGUUUAGCAUCUACUGUCACGGAGAGUGAUUUUAAGACAUACUUUGAUCAGUUUGGUACAAUUACAGAUGUCGUAGUGAUGUAUGACCAUAAUACUCAGAGGCCAAGAGGGUUUGGAUUUAUAACUUAUGAUUCGGAGGAAGCAGUUGAUAGGACUUUGUUUAAGAUUUUUCAUGAACUAAAUGGUAAAAUGGUUGAAGUAAAGCGUGCUGUACCGAAGGAGCUAUCUCCAGCGCCUAACUGUAGCCCUCUCAUGGGAUACAACUAUGGACACAAUAGAGCCAACAACUUCCUUAACAACUAUGCUGCUCAGGGUUAUAAUCUAGCGUCGGUUGGAGGAUAUGGGGUCAGGAUGGAUGGCAGGUUUAGUCCAGUUGCCGGUGCUCGUGCCGGUUUCUCUCAGUUUGCUUCUCCUGCUUAUGGGAUGGGUGUCAAUUUGGACCCGGCGUUGAGUCCCACCUUUGCAGGUGCUUCCAACUUCAGCAAUAAUCUUGGAUAUGGACGGAUACUAAACCCAUAUUUCGGUGCAAAUUCAAGCAGAUACACUACUCCUAUUGGAUAUAGCACAAGCAACAAUAGAGCGGAUUCUUUUCUAAGCUCCCCAACCAGGAAUUUAUGGGGAAAUAUUGGCCUUAAUGCUUCCGCAAGUUCUGGUGGUCCAGGUUCAUUUGUAGGCUCUGGAAGCGGAAAUUAUGGCGUCUUUGGGAAUAAUAAUGCUAAUUGGGGUUCUCUUAUUUCCGUUCCGGGUGGUAAUUCUUCUGGAUAUGGUGGUGGAAAUUUCAGGAGUGGGGAAAAUAAUUAUGGGCUGGGAUCGGGAGGACUUGGUAGAAAUAAUGCUGCUACAACCUCAUCGUUUACAACAUCAACUGGUGCUUACGAGGGGUCUUACGGAGAUCAAUUCCGUGGUGCUUCAGUGUAUGGUGAUCGAACUUGGCAAGGUGUGUCUUCUGAUGCAGAUGGUUCUGGUUCAUUUGAAUAUGGUUUUGGAAAUCCAGCUGAUGUUUCUGCUAAAGAGUCUGAGGAUUAUAUCGGAAAUUAUAAUAUUGCAAAUAGGCAACCGAAUAGAGGAAUUGCAGCAUAGAUGAUUUCGUUAUUUCGAUAUCUGAAGAUACUUAGGAGAACAGACUUAUAAGAGAAAGAAGUGGAAGUCGAUGUUUAUAUAGUACCCCUCACAAUAUAUAUAGUUAUAUAUAUAUAUAUAAGUAUAUUUCGGAUAUAAGAAAGCUGAUCUCUAGAGCUAGUGAGGCGCUUGUCAGAUUUAAAGGUGUUUUGUGACAGUUUGAAGUAUCAAUAUAGUAAAAGCAAUUAGACUUUUUUCAGCACUCGAUCGAGAUGUAUAUCAGAUUUGCAAGGUAUACAUGAUACCGUCUAUUGUAGUUGAUGUGUUUGUGCACCCCCGCGAUAAGACCAGUACCUCUGGUACUACUAUGUUGAGCGUUAGAGUUGUCAUUUUUUAUA
Molecule: unclassified non-coding RNA, 1461 nt
Filed under: Hevea brasiliensis (rubber tree)
Lineage: Eukaryota; Viridiplantae; Streptophyta; Magnoliopsida; Malpighiales; Euphorbiaceae
Source: RNAcentral